RNAcentral lists this long non-coding RNA (734 nucleotides) under Pan troglodytes (chimpanzee). RNAcentral describes it as "lncRNA (ENSPTRG00000053376.1)". Lineage: Eukaryota; Metazoa; Chordata; Mammalia; Primates; Hominidae. The record is from RNAcentral.
CCACGUGGCUGGGUGUUUUGUGGUCCUGACAGGAGAGGAAAACAACAGGUUUGCCUAAGUGGCCCAGUAUGUGUAUCACUGUGGCCCACACCUGCCCCCUUAGCUCAUGAUGAGUGUUGUCCUGUGGAUGCUGGGACGUGGGUAGGGACACAGGCCAGGCUGUUUCUAUCACAGAAAGUUACAGUUCUGGCUUCACAACCUUUCCAAUAUUCCUUCAACAGCAACCAGGUCAAGGCACAGCCACUCCCAUGUACAAAACAUCAAUCUGAAAUUCAGGCAGUCUUGGGAAACAAGGGAAAAAAUACCCUUGUCAUGGCCUUCUCAUCCCAGAGGGGAAAGAAAGGAAAAGAAGUUCAAGGAGUUACAAGAGUGGCCACUGUCCACCAUCAUCUGGGUACCUGCCCUCCACUUGCCCCUCCCUCAGGAGCUUCGCCAGAAUACCUCCUGGAGUUGUUGACAUUGGGCCCUACUGGAACCUUCCUGAAUGAUCAGGCGGCAGGACCUUUUAUCACCGGUGUGCUCUUGCAAAUGGGGUCUUAUUCGUGCACUGAACUUAAUUUUUUUUAAGUGGUCAUAAAAUCUUGACGUCUNNNNNNNNNNNNNNNNNNNNNNNNNAUAGAACAAUUAUCUGCCCCCCAAAUCCAGUUGUAUAUUAUAUCAGGGGUUUCUCAACCGGUUUUUUUUUCAUUAUUAUUUCCUAAGAGGCUUUUAAGAAAUCUUUUCUUUAUUUUCCC